AAGGAUCAUUAUUGAUUGCGAAUCGUUGUCUUCAGUGCUGGCCAGCUCUGGCAAGUGCACGUUGGCGGCUUUUCAUCCAAUACCCCUGUGAACCUUUGGCCUCUUGCUGGCUUUGGCUGGCAGAGGAUUUUUUACACCUGCUCGAAUGUAAUGAAAUUAUUGUUGUGCGCAAGCACUACUGUACAACUUUCAACAACGGAUCUCUUGGCUCUCGCAUCGAUGAAGAACGCAGCUUGACUGCAACAACGGAUCUCUUGGUUCUG
Molecule: unclassified non-coding RNA, 263 nt
Filed under: uncultured fungus
Lineage: Eukaryota; Fungi
Description: partial contains 18S rRNA, ITS1, 5.8S rRNA, ITS2 and 28S rRNA
Rfam family: 5.8S ribosomal RNA (bases 185-263)
Source: RNAcentral